GAGGAUAUAUACAGUAGAGAGGCUAUAACAGUAGAGAGGCUAUAUACAGUAGAGAGGCUAUAUACAGUAGAGAGGAUAUAUACAGUAGAGAGGCUAUAUACAGUAGAGAGGUUAUAUACAGUAGAGAGGCUAUACACAGUAGAGAGGCUAUAUACAGUAGAGAGGCUAUAUACAGUAGAGAGGUUAUAUACAGUAGAGAGGCUAUAUACAGUAGAGAGGCUAUAUACAGUAGAGAGGCUAUAUACAGUAGAGAGGCUACAUACAGUAGAGAGGUUAUAUACAGUAGAGAGGCUAUAUACAGUAGAGAGGCUAUAUACAGUAGAGAGGCUAUAUACAGUAGAGAGGUUAUAUACAGUAGAGAGGCUAUAUACAGUAGAGAGGCUAUAUACAGUAGAGAGGUUAUAUACAGUAGAGAGGUUAUAUACAGUAGAGGUUAUAUACAGUAGAGAGGCUAUACACAGUAGAGAGGCUAUAUACAGUAGAGAGGCUAUAUACAGUAGAGAGGUUAUAUACAGUAGAGAGGCUAUAUACAGUAGAGAGGCUAUAUACAGUAGAGAGGCUACAUACAGUAGAGAGGUUAUAUACAGUAGAGAGGCUAUAUACAGUAGAGAGGCUAUAUACAGUAGAGAGGUUAUAUACAGUAGAGAGGCUAUAUACAGUAGAGAGACUAUAUACAGUAGAGAGGUUAUAUACAGUAGAGAGGCUAUAUACAGUAGAGAGGUUAUAUACAGUAGAGAGGCUAUAUACAGUAGAGAGGCUAUAUACAGUAGAGAGGUUAUAUACAGUAGAGAGGUUAUAUACAGUAGAGGUUAUAUACAGUAGAGAGGUUAUAUACAGUAGAGAGGCUAUAUACAGUAGAGAGGUUAUAUACAGUAGAGAGGCUAUAUACAGUAGAGAGGCUAUAUACAGUAGAGAGGCUAUAUACAGUAGAGAGGUUAUAUACAGUAGAGAGGCUAUAUACAGUAGAGAGGCUAUAUACAGUAGAGAGGUUAUAUACAGUAGAGAGGCUA
This 1010-nucleotide long non-coding RNA is filed under the name Salmo salar (Atlantic salmon). RNAcentral's name for it is "lncRNA (ENSSSAG00000085801.1)". Lineage: Eukaryota; Metazoa; Chordata; Actinopteri; Salmoniformes; Salmonidae. The record is from RNAcentral.